AAAUCUAAUUUAGAGAGAAUGAGAUGUUUUAAAGAAAGUACUUUCUUAAAGGCAGGUGAGAACAUGAUCACAUGAACAUGACUUUUCAGACAUUUCCUGGCUUUCGCUAGGCUGCCCGUUCUGUUCCCCAGCACACCACACGAUGGUUUAUCCGCUUCCAGGCGAGCUCAGAGAACUCCACGAACCUGGCAGCCUUGAGGAACUUAUCACUGAGGACCGACAACCCUGCCUGGAAGGAGCCUUAGACAUCAGCUAGUACAAGGCUGAAGCCCAGAGAAGCUGAUGUUUUGGAAACAAAAGAUGAAACUGCCGAGGACACCCAUACAUAUUACUAUUAAAAUAUCCAGUAUUUUCUUUAUAUCAAGUAACUUUUCCUAUUUGUCUACUCCUAAGCAAUAACAUCCAUUAAAUGGGUUUUGUGUGUUAUUCAUCUUUUUCUAAUACGUAUUAGAAUAAACAAGUAACUACUCAAAUAAAAAAUGGUUCAUGGGACUCAA
Miniopterus natalensis is the source of this 497-nucleotide non-coding RNA. Lineage: Eukaryota; Metazoa; Chordata; Mammalia; Chiroptera; Miniopteridae. The record is from RefSeq and is a predicted model, not a curated record.